Non-coding RNA from Ixodes scapularis (black-legged tick), 69 nucleotides. The record is from Rfam. NCBI's taxonomy places the organism in Eukaryota, Metazoa, Arthropoda, Arachnida, Ixodida, Ixodidae.
GCAGUCGUGGCCGAGUGGCUAAGGCGAUGGACUAGAUGGACCGCACAGGUUCGAAUCCUGUCGACUGCG